Molecule: long non-coding RNA, 368 nt
Filed under: Homo sapiens (human)
Lineage: Eukaryota; Metazoa; Chordata; Mammalia; Primates; Hominidae
Description: HSALNT0225038
Source: RNAcentral
CUGCCUCCCAGGUUCAAGCGAUUCUCCUGCCUCAGCCUCCCUAGUAGCUGGGAUUACAGGAAUCUGAGAAAAAGGGGUUGAUUGAAAGAAUCUAUAUGGUACAGGAUAUUGUUUCAACUGUUCAAAACGUCUUGGAGGAAAUAGCUUCUUUUGGAGAAAGGAUUAAGAACACAUUUAACUGGACGGUCCCCUUCCUUUCAUCUCUGGCCUGUUUGAUUCUGGCAGCAGCCACCAUCAUUUUGUAUUUCAUUCCACUGCGGUACAUCAUUUUAAUCUGGGGCAUAAAUAAAUUUACUAAGAAGCUUCGAAAUCCCUAUUCCAUCGACAAUAAUGAGCUACUAGACUUCCUCUCUAGGGUACCGUCUGAU